Long non-coding RNA from Gigantopelta aegis, 1671 nucleotides. RefSeq lists it as uncharacterized. The transcript is spliced from 2 exons. The record is from RefSeq and is a predicted model, not a curated record. Lineage: Eukaryota; Metazoa; Mollusca; Gastropoda; Neomphalida; Peltospiridae.
UUUAGUUAUUGUGGCUGAGUUUUGUACAUGAUUUAUUGUUCUUUUGUCAUAUCACCAAUGAUAUCGUGUAACUAAAUCGAGUGGCAGAUAUUGUCGGUCUCACAUUCAUGAGUAUUCGUUUUGCUAAACCGAUCAAACUUUUAAUAUUAUUUUAAUAAAGAUUUCAAGAUAUCUAAAAAAUUAUAGAUUAAAAAAAAAGUGAUCCCCUACUGUGGGAUAACAUUUUUCUGUUCUUUGUAUUUCCAUAUUCAUCGAAUGAAUCGAUCGCACUGAUAUCGCCAGCUGAAGAAAAGUAGUUUCGUUUUUGUAAAGGCGGUGUAUCUAUUAUCUGGCACCCAAGAUAAAUGAGUUUAAUGAUGAACACUACUACUUCAGUUGUUUUUAUAAACGGUGAUAUCCCCACAAAAUUAAAAGUUUCUAAUAUUUUAUUAAAAAAAGAUUGCAAAAUAAACAAAUGACAGUAAGUAAAAAUCAUCAGUUACGACCAGUUAAAUCUGUAAUUGAGGAUAAACUAUCAUACGAGAGUUAGUGGACACAAAAGGCAGAAUGACCGUUCUGAUCACGUGACACAGUUGGCUCCAAAUAAGUGGGUUUUUCUGUCGGAGAUUACCGAAACGAUAAAAAUAAAAUGUUUUUAUUGCUAAAAUAAAAUAUACCUUUUAUUGUGGGUAUCCAACAUACAAAUGGAUACUGGUAUGGGACACAACAGAGGCUGUUAAAAAAUAGUGUUAAAUUACGUUACGGUAACGCGUAAUCUGAUGAAAUAUUUCGUCAGUUGCGUUUCCGUACACAACGCGGCUUGUUUCCUUUGAUGUCCAGUGUGCUGUGCAAACUGAUCGAUGUUUUUCAGUGUGUGAAAAAAGUGUGCAUUUUGAAAUAGCGGGGUUGGGUGCUGUAAAAUAUAAUAAGAUGCAAAAAAAAAAAAAAAAAAAAAAAAAAAAAUAAUAAUAAAGAGGGGCGCUGACAAAUAAAAAGGGGCGGCAAAACGCAAUACAUUGUACUUAUUAAUUUUGCUUGACACCAAAUAGCAGGGCCGUAGCUAGGAUUUUUUGUUGGGGUGGGGGAAACUGAGAAGUUAUAGUCUAAAACUUCUUAAACGGUUAAGAAGAGAGUUUUCUUUAAGUUUCUAUAAUGUGUAUUUUUGUGCUGGCGUGUCGUUAAAACAUUCAUUAAUUCAUUAAAACAAGCCUGCCCACAUUUAGGAUAUUGUAUUUUAGGUCCAACCUAUCUUACGCAUCCACCAAUUUCAAUAUUUACGCCUCGUACCUCGUGCGACUAUAAGGGUAAGACGUACCAAGAGGGCGAGUCGUACCACCCCAACCCCUGUGAGGUCUGCCGCUGCCACCAGACUCUGAUGACGUGUUUGGCUCACCCCUGUCCCCCUCCGCACUGCAGAGACCCCGUUCACAAACUUGGGCAGUGCUGUCCUGUCUGUCCUAGAGGUCCUGACAUUCUAGGCUGAUCCUGAAGUACAUACUAUUUCUGAAGGGCGGACAGCAAUGGACAUUGUGAACUGUGUGUACAGAUCGAUACCAUAGACUAAACAUGUGCCUCAGAUAUGUUAAUGACAUCUCUGUAUAUUACUAUAUCGUUUAAUAAAUUAACUAACAAUAGACACUUGACGCGUAGAAACAAUAUGUUUUGCAACUCCGUGAAUAAAAGUUAACUUGA